Molecule: non-coding RNA, 217 nt
Organism: Cinara cedri
Lineage: Eukaryota; Metazoa; Arthropoda; Insecta; Hemiptera; Aphididae
Source: the annotation of a GenBank genome assembly
CCCUAUCCCGUGUGACCGGGGGCACACAGAUAAAUAAAAACAAUUUAAAAUUCAAUCGUACAUUUAUUCCUGUGUGUUGCGGAUGAUGAUUUUGUCGUCCGGAAGCGAUUUCGACAUCUUUUCUGAGAUUCUUAGUAAACAUCGUGUAGAACGAAUCGAAAAUGUAAUCAUCGUACGUUUAAAAUACAGAAAAAAACCUAUUGAGUUUGGAGCAUCG